GCCCGGAUGGCGGAAUUGGUAGACGCGCUGGUCUCAAACACCAGUGGGAAACCGUGCCGGUUCGACUCCGGCUCCGGGUACAA
Molecule: transfer RNA, 83 nt
Filed under: Sphingobacterium siyangense
Lineage: Bacteria; Pseudomonadati; Bacteroidota; Sphingobacteriia; Sphingobacteriales; Sphingobacteriaceae
Also listed under: 3 other names
Description: tRNA-Leu
Rfam family: tRNA
About the family: Transfer RNA (tRNA) molecules are approximately 80 nucleotides in length. Their secondary structure includes four short double-helical elements and three loops (D, anti-codon, and T loops).
Source: RNAcentral